AGUGAACGCUGGCGGUAGGCCUAACACAUGCAAGUCGAACGGCAGCACAGUAAGAGCUUGCUCUUACGGGUGGCGAGUGGCGGACGGGUGAGGAAUACAUCGGAAUCUACUUUUUCGUGGGGGAUAACGCAGGGAAACUUACGCUAAUACCGCAUACGACCUACGGGUGAAAGCAGGGGAUCUUCGGACCUUGCGCGAUUGAAUGAGCCGAUGUCGGAUUAGCUAGUUGGCGGGGUAAAGGCCCACCAAGGCGACGAUCCGUAGCUGGUCUGAGAGGAUGAUCAGCCACACUGGAACUGAGACACGGUCCAGACUCCUACGGGAGGCAGCAGUGGGGAAUAUUGGACAAUGGGUGCAAGCCUGAUCCAGCCAUACCGCGUGGGUGAAGAAGGCCUUCGGGUUGUAAAGCCCUUUUGUUGGGAAAGAAAAGCAGCAGGUUAAUACCCCGCUGUUCUGACGGUACCCAAAGAAUAAGCACCGGCUAACUUCGUG
This 492-nucleotide ribosomal RNA is filed under the name uncultured bacterium. RNAcentral's name for it is "partial 16S ribosomal RNA". It matches the Rfam family "Bacterial small subunit ribosomal RNA", at positions 29 to 507 of the family's 1533-position model. The record is from RNAcentral.